This 689-nucleotide ribosomal RNA is filed under the name uncultured Bacteroidota bacterium. RNAcentral's name for it is "bacterial SSU rRNA". It matches the Rfam family "Bacterial small subunit ribosomal RNA", at positions 10 to 696 of the family's 1533-position model. The record is from RNAcentral. Lineage: Bacteria; Pseudomonadati; Bacteroidota.
AGUUGUAUCCUGGCUCAGGAUGAACGCUAGCGGCAGGCUUAACACAUGCAAGUCGAGGGGUAACAGGGAGCUUGCUCUGCUGACGACCGGCGCACGGGUGCGUAACGCGUAUAGAACUUACCUUUUACAGGGGGAUAGCCUUUAGAAAUGAAGAUUAAUAUCCCAUAGUAUUGAGAACUGGCAUCAGUUUUUAAUUAAAGAUUUAUCGGUAAAAGAUGGCUAUGCGUCCUAUUAGCUGGAUGGUAAGGUAACGGCUUACCAUGGCUACGAUAGGUAGGGGCCCUGAGAGGGGGAUCCCCCACACUGGUACUGAGACACGGACCAGACUCCUACGGGAGGCAGCAGUGAGGAAUAUUGGGCAAUGGAGGCAACUCUGACCCAGCCAUGCCGCGUGCAGGAAGACUGCCCUAUGGGUUGUAAACUGCUUUUAUACAGGAAGAAACACUCGUACGUGUACGAGCUUGACGGUACUGUAAGAAUAAGGACCGGCUAACUCCGUGCCAGCAGCCGCGGUAAUACGGAGGGUCCGAGCGUUAUCCGGAAUCAUUGGGUUUAAAGGGUCCGCAGGCGGUCAAUUAAGUCAGAGGUGAAAUCCCAUAGCUUAACUAUGGAACUGCCUUUGAUACUGGUUGACUUGAGUCAUAUGGAAGUAGAUAGAAUGUGUAGUGUAGCGGUGAAAUGCAUAGAUA